Molecule: long non-coding RNA, 1875 nt
Organism: Mercenaria mercenaria
Lineage: Eukaryota; Metazoa; Mollusca; Bivalvia; Venerida; Veneridae
Exons: 3
Source: RefSeq, a predicted model, not a curated record
UUGAAUCGACACGCCAUUUGUAAACAUCGAAGGUCGCGGAGAAAAUGAAACUACCAAAAACAAUUAUUUGAUGAUUUAUUUCGAUUGUAUAAAGAAUGACAGUUAGCAAAUCUCAAGAUCAACCACUGAGGAUUGUUUUGCUUGAUGCAAUGACCUUAAACAGUGAAAUGAUUUUCCAGGAAGGUCUAUACACAACAAGCUGGAUUUUAUGGGGUGAUGAAAGAACUAUGAAUAUGUAAAUGGGAAUGAAACAGAAGGAAUUAAUAUGUUCUACUGAUCAUCCAGCUGAAAUCAUGCCUGUGGAAUAGAGUGCAUGUCACAAAUACUGAUAUGAGCAAAUAACUCCAUAUUGCACAAAUAAUGUCAUGUUUCCUGCCCUCAUGACCUGAAAAAGUUAAAAAUUCUAGUUCAAAUUACAGAUGUGUUUCAAGAAAAAGUAAAACUUAGUCAACUGUGAGAAAUAUUGGGUAAAAGUAGUGUUCUGAUGUCAUGACAGCUGUGAAGUUGUUUGAGAAGCACUAUGCUAAUUGUUCUAACAAUACAGAAUUUAACUUAUAAAUUUUCCAAAACUGCAUGCAUGAAAUACUAAGACAUGUCUGUUGAAUGAAUCCUAGUUGUUUCAAAACUACAACAUGUGUGACAUUAAAACACAACCUUUGGAGGAAACAUUUUUACAAUAAAAACUGCCUUGCCAGUGUGAGUGUAGGAAGGAUUUUUCCAGAAAUGGCAGAAAACUACCAAUAGAGCAGAAAAUAUUUGUUACUGGCUGAAUAUAAUAUAUUUUAUUUCAAGAAUUAAUCAUGUUAAUCCAUGGUUAUAAUUGUGUUAAAAGAUAUUUUUACAUGACAUGACCUUUGCAGAAAUAGCUAAUUUUUUGCAAAACAUUGUGAGUUGCCAUGGUAACACAAAUUUGACUAAAAUUUAGAUUUGUUUGAUUAUGUAAACAGCAUGUGUCUUGUUUAUAUUCUGCUAAUCAGACUAUGUUCUGCAAGAAAAUAUCUUUUAUGUGUAACCAUCAACAAAACAUGUCAUAACACAAAUCUGCCAUAAAAUGGCAGAGCUGUAAUGCAGGUAGGCAUAUCAGGAAAAAAUGUAGUUCUGAAAGACAAGUUAUAUUACAUAAAAUGAUGUUUGUUUUUUAUAAAUGAUCAUAAUUGACCAUUUGUGGUGUAAAACAAAUGUAUACUGAACAGAUGCUAAAUGAAUGUUCUGAUUCUUUCUGGAAAAUUUACAAAAAACUACUAUUUUAAGAAAAUAGUGAAUUGUUGCCAUGGUAACAUUAAUUUAACUUUAAUAUUAAAUUAGUUUGGAUAUCAUCAUAUGUAAACAACAUCUUUCUUGUUUAUAUGUUAUAUAUGUUAAGCUGUAUUAUGUUAGUGAAUAUAUUUUCAUAUGUAAUAAUUGCAUCAACAAAGCACUAUGUUAUUUCACAAGCCUGCCUUAAAAUGGCAAUAGUUGUAACUGAGAGAGGUGUAUCUGAAAAUUAUGUAUUUCUCAAACCAUAUUACAUUAAUUUUCACAGAAUGAUGUCUACUCUCUUACUUUUAGAUAAGAAAACAGAAGCUUUUGAUGUAAAUAUAUGGAAAAACACUUCCAAUAUUCAAUUUAUUACAAAGAAAUUGCCAAAAAUGUUAGUAUUUUUGUAAGAAAAUACCACAUUGUUGCCAUGGUAAUGUUAGUAUUUUUGUAAGAAAAUACCACAUCGUUGCCAUGGUAAUGAUUCACUGAUCAGUAUAAGUCUUUUGAAAUUUUAGCAAACUCACAGUUGAUAAUAACAGUCUAAUAAUUAUAUCUUCUUGCCUGAUUUUCUUUCUUACUGUUUAAUGGAUAAGGUGUCUAUAAUAAUAAGAUUAAUGUCCUAGUUUUUGGGAUGUU